Molecule: long non-coding RNA, 391 nt
Organism: Pseudoliparis swirei
Lineage: Eukaryota; Metazoa; Chordata; Actinopteri; Perciformes; Liparidae
Exons: 2
Source: RefSeq, a predicted model, not a curated record
CAGACACGGAAAAGAUGCUAGUGAACUUUACCCGGAAGGAAGGACGCACUGUGACGGCAAUCGGAAGGAUGGAGAUGUGUGAGGACCACGUCAGGCUGUUUGUGAUGCAGAUUCCCAUGGCUGAUUACUUGCUCCACCUCAGCUCCUCUGCACGUUUCCUGAUUUCCUCUCUAUUUGACGUCUCAUUGUUCUCUGUAAUCCGUCCAUUGACGGUCGCGUCAUCUGCAAACUUCAUAACAGAGUUUUAUUCAUGUUCCUGUACAGUCAUUGGUGUGCAUAGUGACCAGGAAGGGGCUGUGCACACAGCACUGUUGGGCUCCGGUGUUGGAACAAUAACAAUAUGGUGCAUUUUAAAACUCCUCAUAAUAAACAAUUUUCCCUUUAAAGUAGC